This 468-nucleotide ribosomal RNA is filed under the name uncultured bacterium. RNAcentral describes it as "partial 16S ribosomal RNA". It matches the Rfam family "Bacterial small subunit ribosomal RNA", at positions 28 to 507 of the family's 1533-position model. The record is from RNAcentral.
GACGAACGCUGGCGGCGUGCUUAACACAUGCAAGUCGAACGGAAAGGCCCUGCUUUUGUGGGGUGCUCGAGUGGCGAACGGGUGAGUAACACGUGGGUAACCUGCCCUUGACUUUGGGAUAACUUCAGGAAACUGGGGCUAAUACCGGAUAGGAGCUCCUGCUGCAUGGUGGGGGUUGGAAAGUUUCGGCGGUUGGGGAUGGACUCGCGGCUUAUCAGCUUGUUGGUGGGGUAGUGGCUUACCAAGGCUUUGACGGGUAGCCGGCCUGAGAGGGUGACCGGCCACAUUGGGACUGAGAUACGGCCCAGACUCCUACGGGAGGCAGCAGUGGGGAAUAAUGCACAAUGGGCGGAAGCCUGAUGCAGCAACGCCGCGUGCGGGAUGACGGCCUUCGGGUUGUAAACCGCUUUCGCCUGUGACGAAGCGUGAGUGACGGUAAUGGGUAAAGAAGCACCGGCUAACUACGUG